This is a long non-coding RNA of Galeopterus variegatus (Sunda flying lemur), 390 nucleotides long. RefSeq lists it as uncharacterized. Lineage: Eukaryota; Metazoa; Chordata; Mammalia; Dermoptera; Cynocephalidae. The transcript is spliced from 3 exons. The record is from RefSeq and is a predicted model, not a curated record.
UACUGUGGAAGAAUUAGAGCCCUUGCUAUUGCCUCUUAAAGAUCAAGCUUCACAGGAUGGUUUUUUUGGACCAGUCUUCAAUUACUUCACAUAUAGAAUUCAACAAAACUUGCAUAUUGUAUUGAUAAUGGAUUCAUCAAACUUAAACUUCGUAAUAAACUGUGAGAGUAAUCCAGCUUUGCAUAAAAAAUGCCAGGUGAUUUGGAUGGAGAGUUGGUCAGAUAGCAGUAUGAAGAAAAUACCUGAAAUGUUAUUCAGUGAAACAAGUGAUGAAGAAAAAUAUAGCGACAAAAAAAGAAAAGAAGAAAACAAAAAAAAUUCAGGUGAAAUCAAUUUUAUCUGAUUUUUCUGUAUGAAGUAAUUGCCAUUUUUACUAAUGUUACAGAUCCG